RNAcentral lists this ribosomal RNA (484 nucleotides) under uncultured bacterium. RNAcentral describes it as "partial 16S ribosomal RNA". It matches the Rfam family "Bacterial small subunit ribosomal RNA", at positions 30 to 507 of the family's 1533-position model. The record is from RNAcentral.
AUUGAACGCUGGCGGCAGGCCUAACACAUGCAAGUCGAGCGGAUGAAGGGAGCUUGCUCCUGGAUUCAGCGGCGGACGGGUGAGUAAUGCCUAGGAAUCUGCCUGGUAGUGGGGGAUAACGUCCGGAAACGGGCGCUAAUACCGCAUACGUCCUGAGGGAGAAAGUGGGGGAUCUUCGGACCUCACGCUAUCAGAUGAGCCUAGGUCGGAUUAGCUAGUUGGUGGGGUAAAGGCCUACCAAGGCGACGAUCCGUAACUGGUCUGAGAGGAUGAUCAGUCACACUGGAACUGAGACACGGUCCAGACUCCUACGGGAGGCAGCAGUGGGGAAUAUUGGACAAUGGGCGAAAGCCUGAUCCAGCCAUGCGGCGUGUGUGAAGAAGGUCUUCGGAUUGUAAAGCACUUUAAGUUGGGAGGAAGGGCAGUAAGUUAAUACCUUGCUGUUUUGACGUUACCAACAGAAUAAGCACCGGCUAACUUCGUG